ACCUCCUUGCUGUUGCAACUCUGAGGACAAUUGCUUCAAAUGGGAAGGAACAACCAGCACUGCCAGCACUAUUUGUACAUGAGGACACCUCCUUGCUGUUGCAACUCUGAGGACAAUUGCUUCAAAUGGGAAGGAACAACCAGCACUGCCAGCGCUAUUUGUCCAUGAAGACACCUCCUUGCUGUUGCAACUCUGAGGACAAUUGCUUCAAAUGGGAAGGAACAACCAGCAGUGCCAGCGCUAUUUGUACAUGAGGACGACGAGAGGGUUCCACUCACCCCCUGUGGGGUGUAUUCUGGCCACAACCUGGAACAGGCAGAGUUUCUCCACCUCUGUGUCGACAAGGAGCGGCUGUUCAUGGUCAAAAAUGCGGAGGAAGGGGUCAUCGCAAUCAUGAGUGCAUUUUUUGUAUUGAACAUAGUAUAUGGGCCUAAAUACUUCAGCACCAGUGCAGUACUGGAACGAUUGUUUUUUGGUUUGAAUGUAAUAAUGCCAAGUGGUUGUUACAAACUUUGUGAACAGAGUUGUGCGGGCAAUGCGACACCGAGGUUCAUGUACGUUACCAUACGAAUGCUAGCCUGACAAUUUUGUGCAAUAGCUUGAGCAAUAGUUUUGUGCAAUUUUUAAUGUAUCAUUUUCUUUCUUUUUGAUCGCGAUCAUAGCAUGAUGCAGUAACUUCUUCCGCUGCUUGUGCCAACCACCU
Dermacentor silvarum is the source of this 703-nucleotide long non-coding RNA. RefSeq lists it as uncharacterized. Lineage: Eukaryota; Metazoa; Arthropoda; Arachnida; Ixodida; Ixodidae. The record is from RefSeq and is a predicted model, not a curated record. The transcript is spliced from 4 exons.